GCUGAACAGGUCCAUUCUGGAUUUUGGAUGACCGGUUCUUUGUCGGAGUUCCCGGUAGAUCUGACUACAGGGACAGCAGUGACUUCUCUGUAUGGCUGCGUCGUGAACGGGAGGAAGGUUGGAUAGUCAGUUAUCCUUCCUUCAGUGACUAUCCAUUCUGACUGUUGUCGUGCUGCGGCUGAGGUCUCCUGGCUGUCGAUGAAACGAUAUACUCAGUCAAGAAAAGGCUCUCUUGUGUAUCCUUCAUACCAUGCUCGUAGCCAUUUUUCUCGAUAUCGUUUUCGAUCUUCAAGAGAGAUAUCAUUCACCCAUUGCUCUCUUCUGGGAUCUUCGUUGUCCGGUACUAUCGUACCUUCAUUUCUUGGCUCCGCAGAAGUUUAUUUCUUUCAUAUAUCCACUGUGAAGUGGGCUGAUUAUCAGGAUGUAUCUGGGUGUGAUUCCGAAGCAUAGCUGAUAGGCGGGCUAGCUAACCAGAAGAAAAUAAGAGGUAAAGCACGAGGUUAUGAAAUAAUAAUAAGAGUUACGGG
RNAcentral lists this unclassified non-coding RNA (527 nucleotides) under Hevea brasiliensis (rubber tree). Lineage: Eukaryota; Viridiplantae; Streptophyta; Magnoliopsida; Malpighiales; Euphorbiaceae. The record is from RNAcentral.